CCCACAGCUCCCUUUCUCCUUCCCAGGCAGUCAUAGAUAGAUAGAUGUACACACACACACAUCCACGAGGCCCUGCCUUCCCUGCAUAUGAUGGCGGGAUCAAAAACUGCUCCCCUCUCCCUUCAGCUGGGGUUGGAUAGAGCUGUCCCCACCCUCCCCGGGCCAGACAGGGUUAGCGGAGUUUAACACCCACCACAAUAAAGCACACUUGAGCCUUGGCUCUCUCCUAGGCCAGUGGCUGUUUCUGAGCUCAGCUGAUCCUGCCCACACCCAGCGGGAUGGUUUGAUUUCUGCCCUGGCUGAGCAGGGCGAGGGUGUGGUGUUUGACACCCACCAACGGCCAAACAAGGUAGGCGUUCCUCUUAGAGACAAGUCAGAGCAAACCAUGUGCAAGUUCCUUCGCCAGGAGGGAGUCAUGGAGUCCCCUGCAUUUCCCCAGGCCUCUCUCACUCUGUGGCAGCUUGGCAGCCAUAGCCAGUUCCACCUUCUCAGCUGCUAUUGCUCUGGGAACAAAUGGCUUCUCAAGCCAGUUCUGUACAUUAGCAGCAUGUGCUUCACUGAGAGGCCAGAGCCGGUCUCAGCAGCUGAGGAUGUAGAAGGGGCAUAGGGAGGCCAGGGGGCAAAAGAACUGAGCCUUCCUACCAGCUGAGAAUGUCCAGCUCAACACACCCAGCUUGCGAGGAGCAACAGAAACAAACCCUCAUUAAAGCCCCUAAUAACAAAGAUACUGGUGAUUCCUAACUGCACCAUUAUGGGACGGUUCCAUUGACCUCUCUCUGCACUGUAUCAUCUGAUGUAGGGUCGGUCCUGCUCAUACAGCACAUCUGUUGGCUUUGAUGGCAGCCCCCACAUGCUUUGGCCCCCAGACUCUGAGCUCUAUGGGGCAGAGACUCGAGUUGUGUACAGAGAGGGCCAAGCACACCGAUGGCACACAAAAUAACGGCUGGAAUUUCAAUACAAGGAUGGGCGCUGGUGAAUGAGAAGCUAUGGAGACUGGGGAGCUUGGAUCCCCAGGAGAGAAAUGGAGCUGUGUUUGCUGUGGGCCAAGAGUCAGCAGCACCAGGCUUUACACACGAGAGCAGCGAAAGGAGGAGAGACAUAGACUGAGCAAGAGGCCAAGUUCCUUCCAGAUUUGAGUCCUGUCCAUUCCAGCCUGAUGAGCCCCUACAUUCUCCUUCCUGGACAUCAAGCACCUCUGGAAACCUGCGCUACAUAUUGGCACACCCUGGGGGAAUCAUGGAGGGAAGGGCUCUUUCCUUUCUGUCCCAGCAACCCACUGGGCGGCAGUGCCCAGGUCCUGGGGGUAGCUAGACACAGCACUUCCAACAUUCCCUCUCAGUUUCCUGUCAAUGGGACUGUACCAAACCCCUGGAUUGGAAUCCCCAGCAGGAACAUGGAGGACUCUGAAAUCCCAUCCCAGACCUGGGUCAGAAGUUUGCUAAAGGCUUUGAUCAUGACUCAAAACAUGAGUCAAAACAAAGCUCUGGAGCCAAGAGACUUUGGAGGUUGUGGCUGGAGCUCAGAUCUCUCAACUGUGGAAGGUGCAUUUCUCUUUGGUGUCCCUAACACACAUGGGAGAAUCUAAGAGCCAUUCCGACAAUGCUUGAAACCCUAAGGCGGGCAUAUGAGUGGGCUGGCCCCAUGGCUGCUCUAUAGUCUGUCUUUCGAACCUGAUGAGAAUCACCCCAUCCAGGCAGCGAUCCCAGUACCCCUCUCCCCACUGUGCAAGCGGGUAGUUUUCCCACUCUUCUAGCAUAGGAGGCGCUGGUAUCUGUCUGUGUGUCCCCUCAGCAGCCAUAGGAUGGGUGAUGGGAGGGGCAGAUGGGCCUAUGGGACCUUGAUCCCAUCCCCUCCAAAACCUGCAAUACCCACAAUGUUCUCAUGUCCCCAGUGUAUGGGCUGCAACCUCCCAUGCCUCUCAGUCCUGCCCUGGAGGGAACCCUCUCUAGUAUGAGAGUGGCCCGUUAAGCUGUGGCUGUUUGCUCCCUCUGACUGCCCAUAAGGGUGGAGCCAAAUUAAGGCCAACUGCAGUGGGGAUUUUGGGGAUAUAGAUGCUUGUCCUGCUAGAAACUGAACUAAGACAUGUAAACUCACCACCCAUGGGGGCUAUCAGAUGGGAAUGGCUUCAGGUCACUGCUGAUCUGGGCUGCUUUCAAACCAGUGCCCUUGGGAGCAAAUGUCUACUUUUCUUCAGAGAUGUUUCCCUCUUGACCGCAUACUAUACAUCCUAGACCUGCCCAUUGCCUAGGUCCACCUCCACAGCCAUUCCCUGCUUUCCACCUAGCACGGCCUUGGCUCUUCCACCUCUACCUCUGCACAGAGAAGUUCUCCCUAAGUUGCAAACAGUGCAAGCCCUUGUCUCGUUCCUGUUUUGGCCUGGGAAUCAGCUGGUCCCAGCUGAGGCUUCUGAACUCCCUUAUGAUACAAGGGCCUCUGGAAGCAUCCCCAGAAGCCCAAAACUGCAUGGAAUUUGAAACUGCAGAGAGUCGGUUGCUAAGAGGGAGUCUACGGCUGUGCAGCUGUGGAGGCUGCCUGCCUGCCUGCCUGCCUUGUAGUUUUCCUGUUAGUCACAAAAAUGUUUCUCUGUAGGAAAUGGACAUUAAAGGCCUGGACCUGCUGCAUUUCUGCACCCACCUGGAAUGGGCUCUGGAUGCAGCCCUGAGAGGAGGAGAAGAACUGGACUGGAUUUCUGAGCCCAUGGGGAAUGGGCUCAUGAGAGCUGGGGAACUCAUUUGUCAAACACAGGCCCACAGGACAACCAAAUUCCUCAGGGCGGCAAGUUAUAUGGGCCCGUGGUGCCCAUGCUACAGGAAUAUUCAGGACCCGGAGGCCCAGCUCCACCAAUGUUCAGGGAUGGGUCUCUCCCCUGGCCCCACCUGCUUCCCCCACGUGCCUCCCCCAGUGCAUCUCCCGACCCUGCCUGCCGCCCCCAGGCAUUUAAAAGGGCCCAGGUGACCCCAGCCACCACUAGCAGCGUAGUGGGGCUAAGGUGGCUUCCUGCCCGCCCUCAUUCCGCAACACUCCUGGAAGCAGCCGACACAUCUCUGUAGCCCUGGGGGGAUGUGUAUGUUCACGCACUGCCCCCGCCCUGAGUGCCAACUCCUCAGUCCCUUUGGCUGGGAACCAUGGUCAAUGGGAGCUGUGGGGGUGGUGCCUGUGAGCAGCGGUGCACGGAGACUCCCUGACCUCCCCCACCUAGGAGACGCUGCAAGAGGGGUGUGUGGGUUGCUUUUGGGGAGCUGUCUGAGGUGCCUGGGAGGAGGAAGAUGCUGGACAGAAGGAAAGAAAGAGCAAAGAACAAACAGCCAGGGAGGGAAGGGAGGGAGAAAGCAAAGCAAGAAGAGGACGAGGAAGGGAAGGCAAGAGGAGGUAGAGUUGAUGCUAUUAA
Gopherus evgoodei (Goodes thornscrub tortoise) is the source of this 3388-nucleotide long non-coding RNA. RefSeq lists it as uncharacterized. Lineage: Eukaryota; Metazoa; Chordata; Testudines; Testudinidae. The record is from RefSeq and is a predicted model, not a curated record. The transcript is spliced from 2 exons.